GUUCUCACUUUGGCAACACAUACACGAAAAAGGAACGAUACGAAGAAAAUUAGCAAGGCGCCUGCCCAAGGAUGACACACAAAUUCAUGAAGUGUUCCGUAUUUUU
Molecule: small nuclear RNA, 106 nt
Organism: Ochotona princeps (American pika)
Lineage: Eukaryota; Metazoa; Chordata; Mammalia; Lagomorpha; Ochotonidae
Source: Ensembl